GAGCCGUCAUUCUGACUCGAAGUUUAUACGGAAAGUACACAUUUAUGUUAGUUCAAUACGUCGCUUUUAUGAAACGUUGUCGAAAUAAAAUCGUUAUGCCAUGCAGAGGGAAAGGUCAGUAUCAAAUUAAGCUAUUUUUUAAACGUUUUUGAGUUGUUCUUGUUAAGCUAUUGCUGUUUUUAAAACACGUGUCUACAUUCAUUGUAGUAACAUAUUCAAUUUGAUUCGCAUUCAAGCGCUCAGUCGCUUGAUUUUCUCAGUUUUUCUCCCUAAUUUCCCAGCAGUAAUGUUCAGAAAUACACCAGCUUUGAUUCGUUUAACUCAUAUUUAAUUUAUCUGCAAUUUCAGGCCGAAAAUGUGAAGAGAAAGUGAAUUGAUUUAAGUCGCCGACAUGGUCGAAUGCCAAAGCACUUGGUAAGCAUAAUGCCGUCCAUUAAAGGCGUUUCCUUCUUGUUUGUUUCUCGUUUUUAAGCUUCCCCAAUACACCUAGAACGUCUUCUAGCAUUGCUUUGUAGUCUUAUGAACACUCUGAGUCAAGUUUAGUUACAAUAUUGGUGAAACUUUUGUCUAUACCGAGCGAAUUGCCGACUUAUUUUAGUCAUGUUCAGUUUCACAUGCAGGCGUAUUAUAUAAUUUUCGUACAUUUUAGCUUUCACAAACCAGUCGUUUAUGUACAAAUUGUUCUUUGAGAGGGAAGGCUAAGCUUUUUGAGUUUCUUGAGGUUGUCUAAGUUGAAUUUCGUCCAAUAUUUUUACGAAAUUGAGAGAUGAAAUGUCCUCGUGGUUCAUGCCCUAAUUUUAUGCAUAGAUGAACGUAUUCUUAAAAAUUAAAAUGUUGAAUUCGAUAACGACAUAGGCUUGUUAAGUGGGCGAGUGGCGAGAACACAACGGCUGGAAUCUGAGCCUAAUAACGACAUUGAAUAACUCUUCGUUGUUUAAAAUUCAUUGUCCAAUUUUUUAGACUGCCUCAAAGUCGAUCAUUUUAAUGGCAAACAGCCACAGAAAGAUCUCUGCACAGAUUUGGAGAGGCGCUCGCCUAGCAGUCGAAGCAAAACGAGAAAGACAAGAAGGCAAAGGACAGAUGAGAACAGCCACCAGCUCGAUUCCUUUGCGAACCCACAGCAUUCAUUGUCAGAUUUCGUUUGUGCAAAGUUCGGAAGAUUGCCACUCAUCCAGGGACAGUAACGAAGGCAGAUUUCGUUCGAUCAGCCAAUCGUUCAACCUGCCAAGCGAUAGUCGACGCCAUGUACCAUCCAGAUACCAUAACCAAUACGCCAUACCAUUGUGGAAGAUGUAAUUGUACAAUGUACAUUACAGAAGGUAUAUUUUCCUCGUGAUUCUCGUUGUGCGUGUUCGAAAGUACGUAGGGGGCCAGCCUGAAGACGCCCAAAUGCACAAAACAAAUUUAAAUAUGGCACAUUUUCCUUAAUUUCGCUAUUUAUUCAAAUUUUCUACAUUUCUUGGUAUUUGUGAAAAGCCUUUAACGAAAUCAAAAUGUUUGAAAUUCGGAAGUUUCUAUCUGGGAGUUUGUUUAUUUGAAAGAUAUUUGAAAUGAAAUUUUGAAGUUUACAUCACUUUGGUAUUUGGUUUAAAUGCUAGGUAAAAUCAUGCCAGAGGAGUGGUCGACCAUUCGUCGAAGUUCGGUGAUCGUCGGCUCGGACUUUCCCGACCUACAGUUGAGUUGCUCUGAUCGAUUGUCAUGCAUGAUCAACUAGCGCAAAUGUAAGGUCUGGCCAACCUUGCGUUUGUGCUUUUUGUUCGUGGCAUGAGAUUGGGACAGCUCGCCUGUAGGCCUGGAAAGAGCAAGCCGAAGUACCACCAAACAUUGAUUUGUGGCCGACUUUUUGUCUGUAUGGCUUUAUCCAGCAUUUUUCCGUUAUCACUUUGAUGCAGACUUUGGGGUUUUUGGCUUGAAUAUCUUU
RNAcentral lists this long non-coding RNA (1921 nucleotides) under Paramuricea clavata. The record is from RNAcentral. Lineage: Eukaryota; Metazoa; Cnidaria; Anthozoa; Malacalcyonacea; Plexauridae.